CCUACGGGUGGCUGCAGUGGGGAAUAUUGGACAAUGGGCGAAAGCCUGAUCCAGCCAUGCCGCGUGUGUGAAGAAGGCCUUCGGGUUGUAAAGCACUUUCAGUGGGGAAGAAAGCCUUGGGGCUAAUACCCUCGAGGAAGGACAUCACCCACAGAAGAAGCACCGGCUAACUCCGUGCCAGCAGCCGCGGUAAUACGGAGGGUGCGAGCGUUAAUCGGAAUUACUGGGCGUAAAGCGCGCGUAGGCGGUCUGAUAAGCCGGUUGUGAAAGCCCCGGGCUCAACCUGGGAACGGCGUCCGGAACUGUCAGGCUAGAGUGCAGGAGAGGAAGGUAGAAUUCCCGGUGUAGCGGUGAAAUGCGUAGAGAUCGGGAGGAAUACCAGUGGCGAAGGCGGCCUUCUGGACUGACACUGACGCUGAGGUGCGAAAGCGUGGGUAGCAAACAGGAUUAGAUACCCCAGUAGUC
This 465-nucleotide ribosomal RNA is filed under the name Vreelandella stevensii. Its description in RNAcentral is "partial 16S ribosomal RNA". It matches the Rfam family "Bacterial small subunit ribosomal RNA", at positions 338 to 795 of the family's 1533-position model. Lineage: Bacteria; Pseudomonadati; Pseudomonadota; Gammaproteobacteria; Oceanospirillales; Halomonadaceae. The record is from RNAcentral.